RNAcentral lists this ribosomal RNA (282 nucleotides) under uncultured bacterium. RNAcentral's name for it is "partial 16S ribosomal RNA". It matches the Rfam family "Bacterial small subunit ribosomal RNA", at positions 338 to 638 of the family's 1533-position model. The record is from RNAcentral.
CCUACGGGGCGCAGCAGUGGGGAAUAUUGCACAAUGGGGGGAACCCUGAUGCAGCGACGCCGCGUGAAGGAAGAAGUAUUUCGGUAUGUAAACUUCUAUCAGCAGGGAAGAAAAUGACGGUACCUGACUAAGAAGCCCCGGCUAACUACGUGCCAGCAGCCGCGGUAAUACGUAGGGGCAAGCGUUAUCCGGAUUUACUGGGUGUUAAGGGAGCGUAGGCGGCGAUGCAAGUCAGAAGUGAAAGCCCGGGGCCCAACUCCGGGACUGCUUUUGAAACUGUGU